This 93-nucleotide transfer RNA is filed under the name Leptolyngbya sp. 'hensonii'. It matches the Rfam family "tRNA". Rfam says of the family: Transfer RNA (tRNA) molecules are approximately 80 nucleotides in length. Their secondary structure includes four short double-helical elements and three loops (D, anti-codon, and T loops). Lineage: Bacteria; Bacillati; Cyanobacteriota; Cyanophyceae; Leptolyngbyales; Leptolyngbyaceae. The record is from Rfam by way of RNAcentral.
AGUCCUGUAGCUCAACGGUGGAGCAUCUGUCUUACAAACAGAGGGAUGCGGGUACCGCUUCGCGGAAGCAAGCUACAAAUCCUGCCAGGACUA